This 516-nucleotide ribosomal RNA is filed under the name uncultured bacterium. RNAcentral describes it as "partial 16S ribosomal RNA". It matches the Rfam family "Bacterial small subunit ribosomal RNA", at positions 28 to 523 of the family's 1533-position model. The record is from RNAcentral.
GAUGAACGCUGGCGGCGUGCCUAAUACAUGCAAGUCGAACGCAUUGAGAGAAGUGCUUGCACUUUUCAAUUUGAGUGGCGGACGGGUGAGUAACACGUGGGCAACCUACCUGAUAGCGGGGGAUAACGAGUGGAAACAUUCGCUAAUACCGCAUAACAAUAGAGAAGGCAUCUUCUUUAUUUAAAAGGCGCUUUCAAGCGUCACUAUCAGAUGGGCCCGCGGUGCAUUAGUUAGUUGGUGGGGUGAAGGCCUACCAAGACGAUGAUGCAUAGCCGAGUUGAGGGACUGAUCGGCCACAUUGGGACGGAGACACGGCCCUAACUCCUACGGGAGGCUGCAGUAGGGAAUCUUCCACAAGGGACGAAAGUCUGAUGGAGCAACGCCGCGUGUGUGAUGAAGGCUUUCGGGUCGUAAAGCACUGUUGUAUGGGAAGAAAUGCUAGGCUAGGAAAUGAGCUUAGUUUGACGGUACCAUACCAGAAAGGGACGGCUAAAUACGUGCCAGCCGCCGCCGUAA